Molecule: long non-coding RNA, 748 nt
Filed under: Callithrix jacchus (white-tufted-ear marmoset)
Lineage: Eukaryota; Metazoa; Chordata; Mammalia; Primates; Cebidae
Description: lncRNA (ENSCJAG00000062979.2)
Source: RNAcentral
CUGAGACUUUGGGGUUGUUUGCUACCACAACAUACUGGAUAAAAGUUGACAUACAAGAAAGAGUGAGAGUCAGAUAUGCGGCAAUUUCAACUGCUAAGACUGUAGAAGAAAGCUCUCUUUAACUGCACCACGACGGCCCUGAUUGUUUUGGUUCUUCUGGGUCCAUAUGAAUUUUAGGAUCAGCUUGUCAAUUUCUGCAGAAACCAGCUCUUGAUAUUCUCCUGGCCACACUGAUCACAGUGCUUUUGCUCUCCCUGGCCACAGAAUGUAUGGCAAGGUCUAUGUUCCUUUCCCUUGGAUCUGGAUGCACCUUCUGACUGCUUGACAAAUAGAAUACGGUAAAAGUGACCAUGUUGCUGGGACCAGGCCUUAAAAAAUUGGAGGUUUCCUCUUCCUGUCUUCUAGGACACCCUUCUUAGUGACCAUACAAGAAGUCCAACUACCCUGAGACCCUCAUGUAGGGAAGAUCAUGUAUAGGCACUCCAGUGGUCCUUCCUGCUGAGCCCAGUCUUCCAGUCAUGCUUGGCAAGGUGCCAGACAUGUGAAUGAAGCCCCUUGGACCUUCUAGACAAGCUGUUACCUAAUCUGAAUUUCAUCAGGUGACCUCAGCCAAGGCCACAUGGAGCAAAAAAAGUGUUCAGACACUGCCUGAAUUCCUGAGCCAGUAAUCAUGAGAUAUAAUAAAAUGGUUGAUAUUUUAAACCCGGCAUGUUGGGUAAAUUGUUAAGCAGCAAUAAUUAACAAAACA